AUUGAACGCUGGCGGCAUGCCUUACACAUGCAAGUCGAGCGGCAGCGCGGGGCAACCCUGGCGGCGAGCGGCGAACGGGUGAGUAAUACAUCGGAACGUGCCCAGUAGUGGGGGAUAACCUCUCGAAAGAGAGGCUAAUACCGCAUACGACCUACGGGUGAAAGCGGGGGACCGCAAGGCCUCGCGCUAUUGGAGCGGCCGAUGUCGGAUUAGCUAGUUGGCGGGGUAAAAGCCCACCAAGGCGACGAUCCGUAGCUGGUCUGAGAGGACGACCAGCCACACUGGAACCUGAGACACGGUCCAGACUCCUACGGGUGGCAGCAGUGGGGAAUUUUGGACAAUGGGCGCAAGCCUGAUCCAGCCAUGCCGCGUGAGUGAAGAAGGCCUCGGGUUGUAAAGCUCUUUCGGCGGGACGAAACGGUCCGUGCCAACACCACGGACUAAUGACGGUACCCGCAGAAGAAGCACCGGCUAACUACGUGCCAGCAGCCGCGGUAAUACGUAGGGUGCAGGCGUUAAUCGGAAUUACUGGGCGUAAAGCGUGCGUAGGCGGUUUGUUAAGACAGGUGUGAAAUCCCUGGGCUUAACCUGGGAACUGCGCUUGUUACUGCAGACUUGAGUGUGGCAGAGGGGGGUGGAAUUCCAGGUGUAGCAGUGAAAUGCGUAGAUAACUGGAGGAACACGAUGGCGAAGGCAGCCCCUGGGCUAACACUGACGCUGAUGCACG
This 727-nucleotide ribosomal RNA is filed under the name uncultured bacterium. RNAcentral's name for it is "bacterial SSU rRNA". It matches the Rfam family "Bacterial small subunit ribosomal RNA", at positions 28 to 755 of the family's 1533-position model. The record is from RNAcentral.